This 1985-nucleotide ribosomal RNA is filed under the name human gut metagenome. RNAcentral describes it as "bacterial LSU rRNA". It matches the Rfam family "Bacterial large subunit ribosomal RNA", at positions 1 to 1993 of the family's 2925-position model. The record is from RNAcentral.
UUAAAUUAAUAAGGGCGUAUGGUGGAUGCCUAGGCAUUAGAAGACGAAGAAGGACGCGACAAACAGCGAAAUUGCCUCGGGGAGUUGUAAGUAAACAUUGAUCCGGGGGUAUCCGAAUGAGGAAACUUACCAAGAAAGGUAUCCUAAAAUGAAUAUAUAGUUUUAGUGAAGGAAACCCUGUGAACUGAAACAUCUUAGUAACAGGAGGAAAAGAAAGAAAAAUCGAUUGCCUUAGUAGUGGCGAGCGAAACGGCAAUAGCCCAAACCAAUCUACGGAUUGGGGUAGUAGGACACUUCGAAACGAGGAUAAGAGCUAAAGAUAGCUAAAUGAUUUGGGAAAGUCAGUCAAAGAAGGUGAAAACCCUGUAGGCGAAAUCUGAAGCACUCAGAAGUGAAUCCUGAGUACGGCGGGACACGAGAAAUCCUGUCGGAAUCAACGGGGACCAUCCCGUAAGGCUAAAUACUCUCUAAUGACCGAUAGUGAACAAGUACCGUGAGGGAAAGGUGAAAAGAACCCCGGGAGGGGAGUGAAAUAGAGAAUCUGAAACCAUAUGCUUACAAAAAGUUCGAGCCCGUUAAAGGGUGAGAGCGUGCCUUUUGCAGAAUGAGCCGGCGAGUUAUGGUAUUGUGCAAGGUUAAGUAGAAAAUACGGAGCCGAAGCGAAAGCGAGUCUUAAAAGGGCGAAAAAGUACAAUGCUGUAGACCCGAAACUGAGUGAUCUAGCCAUGAGCAGGUUGAAGUGUAGGUAACACUACAUGGAGGACCGAACCAGGGUACUAUGUAACGUGCUUGGAUGACUUGUGGUUAGCGGUGAAAUUCCAAUCGAACUCAGAGAUAGCUGGUUCUCCCCGAAAUAGGUUUAGGCCUAGCCUUGAAGAAUUUCCUCUGGAGGUAGAGCACUGAAUGUGGAAUGGCCGCGUCUAGCGGUACUGACUGCAAUCAACCUCCGAAUGCCAGAGUAGUUAGCUUCAGGAGUCAGUUUAUGGGUGAUAACGUCCAUAUGCGAGAGAAAAACAAUUCAGACCACCAGUUAAGGUCCCAAAAUAUAUGUUAAGUGGGAAAGGAUGUGGAGUUGCACGAACAGCUAGGAGGUUGGCUCAGAAGCAGCCAUCCUUUAAAGAGUGCGUAAUAGCUCACUAGUCGAGUGGCUCUGCGCCGAAAAUGUACCGGGGCUAAACAUAUUACCGAAACUGUGGAUUUAUGCAAUAGCAUAAGUGGUAGGGGAGCGUUCUAAGGGUGACGAAGAUAGAUCGAGAGGACUAUUGGAGCGCUUAGAAGUGAGAAUGCCGGUGUGAGUAACGUAAGGUAGGUGAGAAUCCUACCCACUGAUUGACCAAGGAUUCCAGGGUCAAGUUCGUCUACCCUGGGUAAGUCAGGACCUAAGGCGAGGCUGAGAAGCGUAGUCGAUGGACAACAGGUUUAUAUUCCUGUACUAUUUAUAGGACUGAAGGAGUGACAAAGGAAGCUAGUAAGAGCCAUUUAAUGGAUUAUGGUCUAAGCACAAAGACUGAUACAUAGGAAAAUCCGUGAUAUCGAACGGUUGAAGUGUGAUGGCGAAGCAGUCUACGGACAGCGAAGUCUUAUGAGGCUAAACUUUUUAAAAAAGCUUCUAAAGAAAUGCUAUAAAUACCUGUACUAAGAACCAACGCAGGUGGUCAAGGAGAGAAUCCUAAGGUGAGCGAGAGAACUAUGGUUAAGGAACUCGGCACAAUGAUCCCGUAACUUCGGAAUAAGGGAAGGUCUUGAAAAAGACCCGCAGUGAAUAGGCCCAAGCGACUGUUUACCAAAAACACAGGUUUCUGCAAAAGCGUAAGCUGAAGUAUAGGAGCUGACGCCUGCCCAGUGCUGGAAGGUUAAGAUGAUUUGUAAGAUGGACGAAAGUCGAUAACAUCGAAGCAAUGAAUUGAAGCCCCAGUGAACGGCGGCGAUAACUAUAAUCGUCCAAAGGUAGCGAAAUUCCUUGUCAGGUAAGUUCUGACCCGCAC